This is a long non-coding RNA of Tympanuchus pallidicinctus (lesser prairie-chicken), 447 nucleotides long. RefSeq lists it as uncharacterized. NCBI's taxonomy places the organism in Eukaryota, Metazoa, Chordata, Aves, Galliformes, Phasianidae. The record is from RefSeq and is a predicted model, not a curated record. The transcript is spliced from 3 exons.
GGGUCUGUGAGGUAUGGAGUGGUCCUACAAGGGUCUGUGGGAUAUAGGGUGGCCCUAUAGGGAUUUGUGAGGUACAGAGUGGCCCUAUAUGGGUCUGUGGGAUUAUGGGUGGCCCUACAGGGGUCUGUGGGAUACGGGGUGGCCCUACAGGGGUCUGUGACAUAUGGAGUGGCCCUAUAGGGAUCUAUGAGGUACAGAGUGGCCCUAUAUGGGUCUGUAGGAUAUGGGGUGGCCCUACAGGGGUCUGUGACAUAUGGAGUGGCCCUAUAGGAAUCUGUGAGGUACAGAGUGGCCCUAUAUGGGUCUGUGGGAUAUGGGGUGGCCCUACAGGGGUCUGUGAGGUACAGAGUGGCCCUAUAUGGGUCUGUAGGGUAUGGGGUGGCCCUACAGGGCUCCAUAGGGCACAGGUUGGCCCUGUGGUGCUGGCAGGCUCUCAGUGCCGCUCAC